This is a long non-coding RNA of Amphimedon queenslandica, 265 nucleotides long. RefSeq lists it as uncharacterized. The record is from RefSeq and is a predicted model, not a curated record. The transcript is spliced from 3 exons. Lineage: Eukaryota; Metazoa; Porifera; Demospongiae; Haplosclerida; Niphatidae.
UCCUAAUAAUAAACACAGUGAUGCUGGUUUUUUGUACCAGUAAGUCAUUACAGCUGCUAGGAUGGAAUGGGUGUGGUUUAUCUUUUAUCAUGGAUAUGACAGUAAACAAAAAUCAAUUGUACAUUAUUUUUAUUAAUAUGUUGGAAUCAAUAAUUAUUGUCCCUCCAUCUCUCUCUCUUUUUCUCUCUCUCUUUAUAGUCCUUGAUCCUUUAUGCCAGCUAUAUCACUUCAAAGCACAAGCUAAUAGUAGAAGAUUCUAUAUAAU